GACGAACGCUGGCGGCGUGCUUAACACAUGCAAGUCGAACGGUAAGGCCCUUCGGGAUACGCGAGUGGCGAACGGGUGAGUAACACGUGGGUGAUCUGCCCUGCACUUCGGGAUAAGCCUGGGAAACUGGGUCUAAUACCGGAUAGGACCACUGCCUGCAUGGGUGGUGGUGGAAAGCUUUUGCGGUGUGGGAUGGGCCCGCGGCCUAUCAGCUUGUUGGUGGGGUGAUGGCCUACCAAGGCGACGACGGGUAGCCGGCCUGAGAGGGUGACCGGCCACACUGGGACUGAGAUACGGCCCAGACUCCUGCGGGAGGCAGCAGUGGGGAAUAUUGCACAAUGGGCGCAAGCCUGAUGCAGCGACGCCGCGUGAGGGAUGACGGCCUUCGGGUUGUAAACCUCUUUCAGCACCGACGAAGCGCAAGUGACGGUAGGUGCAGAAGAAGGACCGGCCAACUACGUGCCAGCCGCCGCCGUAA
Molecule: ribosomal RNA, 478 nt
Filed under: uncultured bacterium
Lineage: Bacteria
Description: partial 16S ribosomal RNA
Rfam family: Bacterial small subunit ribosomal RNA
Source: RNAcentral